ACAACGUGGGCGAACCUCGCCCUCGCAGAUCGGGAGUAACUCCGGGAAACCGGGUAGCUAAUACCGAAUAGUUUGUCGGCCUCUCAUGAGGCUGCACGGAAAGAACGGUUUCGGUCUGUCACUGCAGGAUGGGCCCGCGGCGCAUUAGCUAGUUGGUGAGGUAACGGCUCACCAAGGCCACGAUGCGUAGCCGACCUGAGAGGGUGAUCGGCCACACUGGGACUGAGACACGGCCCAGACUCCUACGGGAGGCAGCAGUAGGGAAUCUUAGACAAUGGGCGAAAGCCUGAUCUAGCCAUG
RNAcentral lists this ribosomal RNA (300 nucleotides) under uncultured Planococcus sp. RNAcentral's name for it is "bacterial SSU rRNA". It matches the Rfam family "Bacterial small subunit ribosomal RNA", at positions 112 to 396 of the family's 1533-position model. Lineage: Bacteria; Bacillati; Bacillota; Bacilli; Caryophanales; Caryophanaceae. The record is from RNAcentral.